This is a long non-coding RNA of Lagopus leucura (white-tailed ptarmigan), 1549 nucleotides long. RefSeq lists it as uncharacterized. The transcript is spliced from 3 exons. NCBI's taxonomy places the organism in Eukaryota, Metazoa, Chordata, Aves, Galliformes, Phasianidae. The record is from RefSeq and is a predicted model, not a curated record.
GAAAAGCACAAGCGACACGCAGCCGCGCAAAAAGGUCCCGCCUCGGGAUGCGCUGGGGCGGCUGCCGCGGCUGCGCCCCUUGUAUCAGUACAUCAACCUCAGCACGGAGCUGAUGCGCCCAGCAGAAGAGGAGGCUCAGCACCAGCAGCCCACAGCUGAUGAGUGCUCAGAGCCAAGGACCAGCUGAGUUCCCACCCUUUAGAAAAGCACGUCAGUACAUUUCUUUCUGUCAGUUUGAAACUAUUUUGAAAGGAAAUAAAUACCUGAAGGUAAAUGCCUCAUUUAGAAACUGAGCAAAGAACCCAGCAAACCCAUGAAGAUUCUGCUCCUCAGCUUGCACCUUCCAGCAAUUUCUACAACCAGACAGGCAGAAAAAGAUCUCAUUCAUCACAACAGUCAGUGUGGGAGGCCCACGAUAGACAGGGUGUCUCUAGAGCCAGUGACUCCAGAACAGCUUUAGAAUGAGAGAAAAAGCAAAGAGGUGGGCACAGCUCCGUGCUGUCCAAGCAAAGGGAGCUGCCAUCCUUUUCUCACCAAUGGGGAAAGCGAGUCCUGUCAGAAGAUCCAUCUCCUACUUUGUCACACCAAGUGAUCAGCCCCAGCUGGAAGCUCUGUCAUGGAGGCUUCAGCUCAGCCAAAUCACACGCAAGCACCCAGCUACAUGAAGAACACCCUGAACAAACAAUCUAUUUUUUCGUUUAUUUCUGUAGAAAACAAGUCAGACACUUGUCAGGAAGGACCAGCUUAUGAAACAGUGGUUUGCGUGUUAACGUACAUAAAUACACAGGGUUACCAUCUGAGUGGGAAAUACAUUAAAAAAAGCUUUCAAGUACACAAAGUACAUGUCAUACAAUUGUACUGUCCCUAUCACAUACCUGCCUCAGAGAGAAACUCUUCUCCAAAUGAACAGACUGCCACCCACCAGCUGCCAACAGCCACGAGCUGCAGGAGGGCAGGCAGCACCAGAGGGCUGAUAUCCAGCGUCUGAGGUUCAGGGCAGACUCCUCAGCUAUCAGCAUGUGUAGUGUGACAGCUUCCCAGCCAGCACAUAGGAGAGCUGCAAGAGGUAGGCAAGACCUCCUGACCUCCACCAUCAGAUACGUGGAAGGUUAAGGUUUUACAGCUUCAUUGGCAACGACAUCCUGAGCCUCAUCUGCGAGCCUGGGAGGAGUUCAGGAAGCCACAGAAGUGAGGAGGUGGCCCUGCAGUCACAGCUCUGCUGCUGCCAGGCUGUAAACACAACCGGUGGACGUGGAGCUCAUGCAGAAAGGCUGCUGGAUGCAGUCAGUGUCACGAGUCGAAGGAAUAAUGUCUGCAGAUAUGGGAGGAAAGCACAAAGCAUCACAGCCUUCCCCAGCACCAUCAGCUGGGAUCUCACAGCAUCCUUUAAACAACACACUGGUUUCAAUUAAUUUGAAAGACAUUUGCGGUAUGCAGAAAGCCAACGGCCAAUUCUUAUUCUACAAACUUUACUGUAUUCCUUCUGGUCUUUGUCCUAUGGCAGUUCAGAGAUGUGUUACAUCCCUAAACUCUUUAAUAAAGUGUUACU